GCAAACUUGGUCAUUUAGAGGAAGUACAAGUCGUAACAAGGUUACCGUAGGUGAACCUGCGGUAGGAUCAUUAACAAAUCCGAGUAGGACUUCCCAGUCCUGCCUAUGUUCCGGCGGCGAUGCGCUGUGGCGUUCGCUGCUGUGUUCAAAACGUGCUCUGCACAAGUAUGUAAGUGAGACUUUCAAUUAUGCGUGGGAACAACAAAACAACUUUCAACAAUGGAUCUCUGGGCUCUUGCAUCGAUGAAGAACGCAGC
RNAcentral lists this unclassified non-coding RNA (257 nucleotides) under uncultured fungus. RNAcentral's name for it is "partial contains small subunit ribosomal RNA, internal transcribed spacer 1, and 5.8S ribosomal RNA". The stretch from base 1 to 73 matches the Rfam family "Eukaryotic small subunit ribosomal RNA", at positions 1759 to 1831 of the family's 1831-position model. The record is from RNAcentral. Lineage: Eukaryota; Fungi.